AUGUCCACAUGGGGCUUGAUUUUUGUGUCGUUGCUGAAGAUUUGAGAACCCCCAGUGUAAGUACGAGCCCGCUGCCAAUGACCUACAGAUGAAAAGCACUCACACCUCAGAUAACCUGUCCUGCCUGCAAACAAGACACAGCAGCAGAUACCUACGACAAGUUCGUCUCCUCUUCCACAUCCCAUCAGCACUUGUGCAAAGAAACUGGAGAAGCCCCUCAAUGUUGCAUUGCCAGGAAGAGGCCCAGGACCUCAGCUCCUGGCAGGCAGAAGCUGUGAGGUCUUUUAACUGCAGGCACAGCAAACAGGUUGAGAUGGGAGCUAGGAUAAGUCUUAAGAAAGAACCAGGAAGGGAAAGACUCCCGCUCAGCACUGCGUUCUCCUCCCACACCUUUCCCCUGAAUUUGCAGGGACAGACACCAGAUGGCGAUGGCCACUCUGCUUUCUUUGCAACCUGGAAACAAACUAAAAAUGCAAAGUUUUUGUGUCGUCUUAUUCAGGAGUAUGUCUUCACUCCUUCUGUCUGACAGAGACAGCAUGCAAAGCACUGCCAUCUUUAUGUGCUUAUUUUCCUUGAACACAUAUUCUGAUCAUACUGUUAUAUUUAGGGAGAUUUUCUAUGCAGGCUUCCUCUAAAGAACCCUAGUGCACCCCAGCUGCUGGGUGCUGUGGGUGAUUAUCCCUUUUCCUCCCCUUCUGCCUCCCUGAGAGGAAGGGAAGUGAUGGGCACAAGGUGGCUCAGUGGGAUGUGGCUGUAUGUGGAGGUGCAGUGCAGAGUGCAGCUCUUCUGGCUUUGUGACAGGGUGCUGUCUCAGUCGUUCACAUGUGGACAGACUUGGUGCAACAUACUGUGCUGCUGUCUAUGUGCGGUACCCGAUUCUUCUUAGCAAAAUUCAGCGAUUCACUGAGGGAUUGGGACUCUCUUGUGAUUUUUUUUUUUCUCCUGCCUGUUCCAAUGCUAUUUUUAAAGGAGCUGUAGCUACGUAAAAGCCUCACUUAAACCACUGGCAUUCCUCUAUGUUAUAAAGUGAGAUAAUUCCUUCCAAACCAAACCCUGGCAUCAAAGGAUCAGAAGUGAAAAGUGUUACAUGAUACAUGUGCAUGUGUGCUGUGUCAGUGUAAGCAUCUACAAAGGGCUCCUUCAUCUUUUCUCCUGUUCAGCAACCCCGUUGGGCUGCAGAAUAGCAGCAAUCAAGCUGUCUGAGUGGGGCAGAUGCCCUAUUUGUUGGCUUGCUUGCUUCUGAAAUUCUUUUCGUGUAUGAAAACCUCUGUGG
Meleagris gallopavo (turkey) is the source of this 1273-nucleotide non-coding RNA. Lineage: Eukaryota; Metazoa; Chordata; Aves; Galliformes; Phasianidae. The record is from RefSeq and is a predicted model, not a curated record.